Drosophila hydei is the source of this 501-nucleotide long non-coding RNA. RefSeq lists it as uncharacterized. The record is from RefSeq and is a predicted model, not a curated record. Lineage: Eukaryota; Metazoa; Arthropoda; Insecta; Diptera; Drosophilidae. The transcript is spliced from 3 exons.
UUAUUCAGAAGUAUUCGAACGUUAGAGUUAUUCAAUUUUAAAAUGCCCACAUUAAAAUUUUUUGUCUCAUUAUUUUUGAGCUGUGUUUUUGUUUUUGUUCAGAUAAGUCCUGGACUAGGACUAGGACUAGGAAAUAUGUGUUUUGACUGCAGCAAAUGGUUAUCAAACUGUCAGAUUGAAAAAGGGCUAUUAGUUGCUUUCGCAGAGGAAGAUAACAGUAUUUUAGUUGACGCUGGACCUGAUGAGUCACCAGACUCCGCCUUGGAGAACUGUCUACUCCCCGGAAAAAAAAUAACAGGCGGCCUUGUAUCAGUUGUUUGUUCCGCUGCCAAAUCUGGCUCCUGUGGUGUAAUAGGUAAUAAACAAUUGGAGUCGUGGCAUAAAAUUUAUUGCAGUCUAUGUGCAAAAAAGUGUGGUUGCACGUUUUCAGCUGCUCCUCCAAUUAGUAAAGGAAGCGGUAAAUUGAUAUUAUUCUUGGGCGUAUUUCACAUUAUGUUAUAU